This 466-nucleotide ribosomal RNA is filed under the name uncultured bacterium. RNAcentral's name for it is "SSU rRNA". It matches the Rfam family "Bacterial small subunit ribosomal RNA", at positions 26 to 518 of the family's 1533-position model. The record is from RNAcentral.
AGGACUAACGCUGGCGGCGUGCCUAACACAUGCAAGUCGAACGAGGGGUAGCAAUACCCCUAGUGGCAGACGGGUGAGUAACACGUAGUCAACCUACCUCUUAAUGGGGGAUAACUAGCCGAAAGGUUAGCUAAUACCGCAUACGAUCGUCGAGUGGCAUCACACGACGAUGAAAGGAGCAAUCCGUUGAGAGAGGGGACUGCGUCCCAUUAGUUAGUUGGUGGGGUAAUGGCCUACCAAGACUCCGAUGGGUAGCUGGCUUGAGAGAGCGACCAGCCACACUGGAACUGAGACACGGUCCAGACUCCUACGGGAGGCAGCAGUGAGGAAUUUUCCGCAAUGGGGGAAACCCUGACGGAGCGACGCCGCGUGUGGGAAGAAGGCCUUCGGGUCGUAAACCACUGUCGAGGGGACGAUAUUGACGGUACCCCUGGAGGAGCCCGGCUAACUACGCGCCAGCAGCCGC